Triticum aestivum (bread wheat) is the source of this 2003-nucleotide RNA transcript. RefSeq lists it as uncharacterized. Lineage: Eukaryota; Viridiplantae; Streptophyta; Magnoliopsida; Poales; Poaceae. The transcript is spliced from 4 exons. The record is from RefSeq and is a predicted model, not a curated record.
CAAACCCGGAGCUCCCGCCGUCUCCCCCGCUCCUCUGUCGCGUCGGAGGUCCGCUCCCCCGCAGCUCGGCUCCUCCGCAGCUCCCCCGCAGCGGCUCCCCCGCAGCUCCCCGCAUCGCCAGAGCUCUCCCGACCCACGCCUCCCCCACCCCACGCCUCCCCCGCAGCUUCCCUCUCCUUGUUCCCCUCCUCGUUCCCCAUGAUGAUCCCCGACGAGGAGAAGACUGAUUUUUUUCUUUCGAUCUGCUCGGCGGCGGCCAUUUCCAGGCCCUCCUCCUCGGCGUUGCGGCGGCAGCUCACCCGCGGUGGCGGCGCAGGCGACUAGCAGCAGUGGGCGCGCGAGCAUGCGGCGAAGGAGGUCACCUUCGGCGUCGGCAUGCACGCCACCAUGCCGCGGUGCGUCAACGACCUCGCGGACGUCGUCAAGGUCACCAUGGGCCCCAAGGAUCGUCAGUGCCCCCCUCUCACUACCUCUCACUCCCUGCGAUGCGCUGCUUGCUUGCAUUGCACGGGCGCAAUUUGAUUAUCAAGAGAAAGAACAGAUCCCCAUUUGCUUGGCAACUGAGUGCAGUACUGGUAAGGUUUAAAGAUCUAAAACACUGAUCUUUAUGCUCCCCAUUGCAUGUAAUUGAAUUGAUGGGGAGAAGAAUGUUGAAAUUCAGUUUGCAAAGAAUCCCCCUUUGUUGAAAUUCAGUUCGCAAACAAUGUUGAAAUUCAGUUUGCAAAGUGUUGAAUAGUGGAGUACUGUCAAAGCUGCACUGCUCACUGAAAACAGUGGAGUAUUCACUCAAAUUUUUGUGUCUCAGUUUAAGUUACAGAUCACGAAUACUCCAUGGAGUAUCAUGGAGCAGUACAAUACUGAGAACAUCUUCAACUCAAAUAAGAACAUCUGCACAAAUAUGGUGUUAAUGUAGUGUUAUGCAUUUCUUUAUCAAUCAUCCUGAUGUCGUCGUGUGGACAUGUGGUAGCACUGAAUAAUGAAUUUGUGUUAACACUGAAUUUGUGGACAUGUGGAUACUGAAUUUGUGUGGACAUGUGAUAGCAUUUCCUUUAUCAAGAUCAAGGAGGAGUGAGAAUGACAGGCAGCCAUGGAGCAGCAACUCAAGGUCAAGCCCUCCAUGUACGAUUCAAUCAAGAUCAAGGUUUGGUCUUCGGCCCUCUGUUGCAGCAUGUGCCGCUCAACAUGACCUGUAGAACACUGAAUGGAUGCACAAGAAAAGGAAAAAGGCAGCAAGGAGGGAGAGGAUAUUUUAGUAAGGAGUGAAAUUGUGACGUAACCAGAGAAAGCUUGCUCGUAAUUCAGUCAAGAAGGGGACGAUGAAGAGGAGGCCGUGAAUGUGUUGAUUCAGGAUCCAACUGGAUGAUCCGCUGGGCGGGGGCGCUGGUACCUUCAACAGCAGCACAGCGGGGGACAAAGAAGAAGAUUGGGGCUGCCUGGACGAAGAUCGGGAGCUGCACCACCACUAGCAUAAGCAGCAGAGGCGGAGGAAGAUGGCAACAGCAGAAGAGGCCGGAGUGGCGGAAGGGGGCAUGCCGGCGGCCGAAGCGGACGGCCCAGGCCCUGCGAGCGGCACAGGUAGGCGGCGGUGGUCACCUCUGUGGCAGCUGCGCAGGUGGGCGGCGGUGCUGGGUCGCAAGCAAGACGACAAGGAGAUGCCGCCCAUCAGUCAUGGAGCCGCCGCCCGUCGAGUUGUCGCCGGAGAGGAGCAGGCGGGCGGAUGCGAAGCUCGCCUCCGUGUGCGCACGUAAGCAGGGGAGGCGCAAGUUUGCAGCAGCGGGGCAGGUGGGUGGCGGCGCAAGUGGGACUUCGUCGCCGGCUGAUCCCUACGACGGCUGGGGCACGCUGUGCCCGCCGGCGACGGGGGGAGCCGGAGGCUGGGGCGCGCGGUGCCCGUGGGCGUCGGGGGAGGAAGAAGGGCAGAUUAGCAUGAGAUUUAAAAUGAUAAGGUCUUUUUGACAAAAUUACAAUUAAACUGCGUUGGUGACAACUUUUCUCGGACGGAG